This 461-nucleotide ribosomal RNA is filed under the name Staphylococcus aureus. RNAcentral describes it as "partial 23S ribosomal RNA". It matches the Rfam family "Bacterial large subunit ribosomal RNA", at positions 1609 to 2071 of the family's 2925-position model. The record is from RNAcentral. Lineage: Bacteria; Bacillati; Bacillota; Bacilli; Caryophanales; Staphylococcaceae.
CGAGAAAAGCCUCUAGAUAGAAAAUAGGUGCCCGUACCGCAAACCGACACAGGUAGUCAAGAUGAGAAUUCUAAGGUGAGCGAGCGAACUCUCGUUAAGGAACUCGGCAAAAUGACCCCGUAACUUCGGGAGAAGGGGUGCUCUUUAGGGUUAACGCCCAGAAGAGCCGCAGUGAAUAGGCCCAAGCGACUGUUUAUCAAAAACACAGGUCUCUGCUAAACCGUAAGGUGAUGUAUAGGGGCUGACGCCUGCCCGGUGCUGGAAGGUUAAGAGGAGUGGUUAGCUUCUGCGAAGCUACGAAUCGAAGCCCCAGUAAACGGCGGCCGUAACUAUAACGGUCCUAAGGUAGCGAAAUUCCUUGUCGGGUAAGUUCCGACCCGCACGAAAGGCGUAACGAUUUGGGCACUGUCUCAACGAGAGACUCGGUGAAAUCAUAGUACCUGUGAAGAUGCAGGUUACCC